RNAcentral lists this long non-coding RNA (3363 nucleotides) under Sus scrofa (pig). RNAcentral's name for it is "lncRNA (ENSSSCG00035073983.1)". Lineage: Eukaryota; Metazoa; Chordata; Mammalia; Artiodactyla; Suidae. The record is from RNAcentral.
UUUUUUUUUUUUUUGGUCUUUUUUUAGGGUUACACCUACAGCAUAUGGAAGUUCCCAGGCUAAGGGUCGAAUCAGAGCUGUAGCUGCCAGCCUACCCCACAGUACAGAAACGCGGGAUCUGAACUGUGUCUGUAACCUGCACCACAGCUCACAGUAAUGCUGGAUCCUUUAACCCACUGAGUAAGACCAGGGGUCUAACUCACGUCUUCAUGGACACUAGUCGGGUUAGUUACCACUGAUCCAUAAUGGGAACUCCUCAGGAAUCUUAAUCAUUGCCUUCUGGAUUGUAGAGGCCAGAAGAAAGUACUAUCACAAAAAGCAGAAGAAUUGAAGUGAUAAAUAUAGGUAUCCAUGAAAUUUCCUAAAGCCACAGUUGAAGGUAGAGGGACAUAAUGUUUUUUUGUAUUUUGUUUUCUUUCAUAAAUUAAUUCCUUUAUUUUUCUUUAUAGCACUCAUAACUCUCUAACAUAUUUUUUGCUUAAUCAGUGGCUUAGCAUCAGGCUUCCUAUUGGAAAGUAAGAUCUAUCAGGGCAGGAAUUUUGCCUAUUUUUUCAGGAGCUUUUAUCCCCCAUCCUUUAAGAGAGUUCCUGUUGUGGCGCAGUGGAAACAAAUCUGACUAGGAACCAUGAGGUUGCUGGUUCGAUCCCUGGCCUCACUCAGUGGGUUAAGGAUCUGGUGUUGCUGUGAGCUGUGGUGUAGGUCACAGACACGGCUCGGAUCUCACGUUGCUGUGGCUGUGGUGUAGGCCCACAGCUGUAGCUCUUAUUAGACCCCUAGCCCGGGAACCUUCAGAUGCCGUGGGUGUGGCCCUAAAAAGCCAAAAAAAUACAAUAAAAGGGGGCAAAUGAAAAAUUUUAUUUAUGAAUUUAUUAAUAUAUAGGUCAUAAAAAUAGCUGAGUGUAGGAGAGGUAAAGCCUUCUAGAUAAUAUGAUUAAACAAGGCAGAGGAAACAUAGGAUAAUGAACAGGGUUGAGGGAAGAUAAAUUCCAUUUGGGGUAUUAUUUUACUAUUGCGUAAAAGUAGGAAUUUUACAUAAUCUAUUUAGAAAAUAUGUUGUCGGUAUUUUCUGUAUGUGACCAUUAUAGUAACAAAUACUAUCUUUCACACUUGCACUAGACUGAGAGGCUAGGUGCAUUAACAACGUAAUUGUCCUUUAUGCCACUCAUUGCUAUUGUUCAGUCUUAAUCCAUGAAUAAGCUCUUUCUCAGUCUAAGUGGAAUGGUCCUGUGCUUACUGCUUUUUUUCCAUCUGUAUUUUCACCCUAAAUGAUCUCAUCCAUUCCCAGGACUUCAGGUAUCACCUGUGUACAACAAUUUCUAAAUUCCAAUCCUCUCUUCUGAACUGUACAUUUACAUAGCUAACUGCCUGUCUUCUCUACUUAUGUGUCAAAAAGGCAAGAUUGUCCUGAAUUCUUUUAUCAUCCUGUUCUUCUUUCAUUGUCCCUCCAUUACAUCUUUCCAGUUGCUCCAAACAGCAGUUUGGCAAGUUUCCCUCCUGCCAUAUCCAUUUUAUUAGCAUGGUCUGUAGCCACCUAAAAUACGUUUUAAUCUUUCUGCUAAUUCCAUUUUUGCCUUUACUGUAGGCAAGUCAUCAUCAUUUCUUGCCUUGACCACUGCAGUGGCCUGCUAACACCUGUUAGCACCCUAAUUAACUUCUAACCCAUCUCAUAGCACCCAGAAUGAUCUUAAAACUGCAAACUGGAACCUACCAUUCCCUUGCAGAAAAAAAAAAAAAAAAUCCUUCAGUGGCUUCCAUUUGCCUCUAGAAUAAAAUUUCAGAAUUCUGAAUAUGGCUACAAGUUCUUCCAGGUUUAUCCAUGUCUACUUCUCCAGCCUCAUCUUGGACUGCUCUUCACUAAACUCUGACAACCCUGGCCUGCUUUUUUCCCUUGGUUUGCAUGUUAGUCUGUCUGCCUGAAAUAAUCACCUUCUUCUAUCCCAGAUUAAUUUUGGCUUAUUAUUAAAGUUUCAGCUUAAAUUUUUUAUCUCAGUGAAGCCUUCCUGAUGCCUAUCACUAGAUGGUAUCAGCAUCUCUUGAAACAUGAAAUUUUCCUGCACAGCAAUCAAUCAGCUUUAAACUACUUGUUUGACCUUUCUCAGACUCUUAGAGUCAGACAGUGUGUCUCUUUUGUGUAUUGUUUCUUCAACACUGAGCAUUGUUCCUAGUAUAUAGCAGGUGUUCAAUAAGAUUCUCUGUCUUUUAAAGAUCAUGUAUCUCUUUUGGAAUUUUAGCUAUUAGCAUUUCACAAUUCUCUGACCUAUGGUAGCAUGAAAUAUAGAGAAAAGUAUAUAAAUAUAUAGAACAUCAAAUUAUGAAGAAUACACCCGUGUUAUAUCACUCAGACCAAGAGAAAGCACUUUGCUAGUACUCAGAAGCCCCCACUUUCUCCUUCCUGUCAUAAUGACCACCUCACCUUUUUUAAUAAUUUUACCUGCUUUUACACUGCUUUUAAUAGUUUUACCACCUAAGUAUAUAAUGCAAAGCGCUGUAAUUAAAUGUUCCCCUUUUUAGAACUGGAAUCAUAUACUGUAUGUUUUCUUGGGUCUUUGUUUUCUCAACAUGUUUUUAAGACUUAUUUGUUUCCAUGUAGUGUGCUGUAUAAUAUUUCAUUUUAAGAAUAUACUGUAUUUAUUUUUUACCUUUUUUGCUGGUAAUAGACUUUUGUUGUCUUCAAUUUGCAAUUAAUAUGAACAAGCCUGCUCCAAAUAUUCUUGUAAAAGUUUAUAUCCUGGUUCACUUGAACAUGAUCUUCUCUAAACUCCAUACCAAAGGGUGGAAUCGUCUCAUAGGGAAUGUGUAAUUUCGAAUAUGCUAGACAAUGUGAAACUUUUCCAAAGUGGUUAUCAGUUUCUUUUCUCAGCAGUUGUAUAUGAGUUCCCAUUGUUCUACCUUCUCACCAGUACUUGGUAUGGUCAGCCUUUUUUAUUUUAGCCAAACUUAAAUCACUUUACUUUUAAUUUUCAUUUCUCUGCUUACUAGAAAGGUUAGUAGUUUUUUUAUUGGUUUGUUACCCACAUGAAUUUAUUUUACAAAGUGUUUACUUAAGCGUUUAACCCAUUUUCCUCCUGUUACAUGGUUUUUUUCUUAUUGAUUUGAAGGAAUUCUUGAUAGAUUCUGGAUAUGAGUUUGUUUAUAGCUAAUAAAUAUUAGUGAUUGAAUAAAGCUCUUCCCAAACCACCUAUCUCUUCCUUAUCAUUCACUGGAGUUAUGGGAUGUAUAUUUAAAGUAUGGGACAUUGUCAGUGUUCAUUCUGCUUUCAGUAGUGAGACGUUGUUUGAUAUCUUUAUUAUCUGCCAUCAUUAUUCUAAAGAUAAUUCAAGGUGAUAGCUAAAACUUUAAAAGAUCUCUUUCAUGUUUACAGGU